AGAGUUUGAUCCUGGCUCAGAUUGAACGCUGGCGGCAGGCCUAACACAUGCAAGUCGAGCGGUAGAGAGAAGCUUGCUUCUCUUGAGAGCGGCGGACGGGUGAGUAAUGCCUAGGAAUCUGCCUGGUAGUGGGGGAUAACGUUCGGAAACGGACGCUAAUACCGCAUACGUCCUACGGGAGAAAGCAGGGGACCUUCGGGCCUUGCGCUAUCAGAUGAGCCUAGGUCGGAUUAGCUAGUUGGUGAGGUAAUGGCUCACCAAGGCGACGAUCCGUAACUGGUCUGAGAGGAUGAUCAGUCACACUGGAACUGAGACACGGUCCAGACUCCUACGGGAGGCAGCAGUGGGGAAUAUUGGACAAUGGGCGAAAGCCUGAUCCUGCCAUGCCGCGUGUGUGAAGAAGGUCUUCGGAUUGUAAAGCACUUUAAGUUGGGAGGAAGGGCAGUUACCUAAUACGUGAUUGUUUUGACGUUACCGACAGAAUAAGCACCGGCUAACUCUGUGC
RNAcentral lists this ribosomal RNA (505 nucleotides) under uncultured bacterium. RNAcentral describes it as "bacterial SSU rRNA". It matches the Rfam family "Bacterial small subunit ribosomal RNA", at positions 8 to 508 of the family's 1533-position model. The record is from RNAcentral.